GAUGGGGAAUCCUUGUAUCAAGGGUGCACUCUGCAUGAACAUCGAAAGAGAAUUGGGUUAAUAUUCCCGAACCGGGACAUGGUGGUGGACGACAAUGUUAGGAAAUCUAGAGAUGUCAUCGAGGGCCUGGGAAGAGUUAUCUUUUAUUUUUAAUGGCUUUCCCACCCUAAAAUCGGUUCAACCAGAGAUAGGGUCCAACAUAUGUAAGAGCACCACACAUCUUGUGGUGUUUGGUACCCUCUCAGUGGCCAUUGAAAAUAUGGAGAACCGAGUACCAUCCAUGCCCGAUCGUACUCAUAUCUGCCUCCUUGGAUUUUUCAGUGCUCACUAGGUUAGCAAUCU
Molecule: non-coding RNA, 342 nt
Organism: Picea glauca (white spruce)
Lineage: Eukaryota; Viridiplantae; Streptophyta; Pinopsida; Pinales; Pinaceae
Source: Rfam